GGCCCUUUCUGGGGUCCCCGUAGGGUCCCGCGUGUGGCUUCAGGACCCCCAAGAUGUUGGGGGGUCCCUGCGGGAUUUUUGGGGGUCCCGGUGACGAUUUUAGGACUCAGCCAAGACGUUUUAGGUUCCUACGGGGGUUUUGGGGGUCCCCUUGAUGGUUUUGGGGCCUCAAUGGGGACGUUUUAGGUUCCUAUAGGGUUUUGGGGGUCCCCAUGGUGGUUUUAGGGCCUCAAUGAAGGCAUUUUAGGAACUGAUGAAGGUUCCUAUAGGAUUUUGGGGUCCCCGUGAUGGCUUUAGGACCUCAAUGAAGCUGUUUUAGGCUCCUAUAGGGUUUUGGGGUCCCCCCGAUGACUUCAGGACCCCGAUGACGACGCCGAAGGCCCCUGUAGGAUUUCUGGGGGUGGGGGUGCGGGUCCCGAGAACGAUUUCAGGCCCCCCCCAUCCCCGCGAGGCCCCUCGCGUCCCGGCCCCGUUGCCCCGGGGGCCCUCAGGCCGCCGCCGCCGGGCCGAUGAGGAAGAGGAGGAGGAGGAGGAGGAAGAGGAGGAGGAGGAGGAGGAGGAGGAGGAGGAGGAGGAAGGUCAGGGGGCUCGGGGGAGCUGAGCCCCACCCCACCAGGGCCCCCUGUCCCUCGCUGGGGCCCCAAGUCCCCCGCUGGGUCCCCGCUGGGUCCCCACGGCCCCCGUUGGGUCCCCUUGGCCCCCAUUGGCUCCCCUUGGCCAUGGUGAGUCCCCAUUGGCUCCCCGUGUCCCCAUUGGUUCCCCUUGUCCCCCAUUGGCUCCCCAUGUCCCCUGUUGGGUCCCCGUGUCCCCAUUGGUUCCCCGGGUCCCCGUUGGGUCCCCAUUGGUUCCCCUUGUCCCCCAUUGGCUCCCCGUGUCCCCUGUUGGGUCCCCGUGUCCCCAUUGGUUCCCCGCGUCCCCUGUUGGGUCCCCGUGUCCCCAUUGGCUCCCCGUGUCCCCGUUGGGUCCCCAUUGGGUCCCCUUGUCCCCCAUUGGGUCCCCUUGGCCAUGGCGAGUCCCUGCGGGGAUCCCACCACCCCCAUUGGGUCCCCGUUGGCUCCCCACUCCCCCCCAC
This 1072-nucleotide long non-coding RNA is filed under the name Anser cygnoides (Swan goose). RNAcentral describes it as "lncRNA (ENSACDG00005007760.1)". Lineage: Eukaryota; Metazoa; Chordata; Aves; Anseriformes; Anatidae. The record is from RNAcentral.